RNAcentral lists this ribosomal RNA (773 nucleotides) under uncultured Neocallimastigales. Its description in RNAcentral is "partial large subunit ribosomal RNA". It matches the Rfam family "Eukaryotic large subunit ribosomal RNA", at positions 24 to 649 of the family's 3401-position model. Lineage: Eukaryota; Fungi; Neocallimastigomycota; Neocallimastigomycetes; Neocallimastigales. The record is from RNAcentral.
UAUGUGAUCGUCUCUCGCAUAUCAAUAAGCGGAGGAAAAGAAACUAACAAGGAUUCCCCUAGUAACGGCGAGUGAAGCGGGAAGAGCUCAAAUUUGAAAUCUUAAAGGGUUUCCCUUUACGAAUUGUAGUUUAAAGAAGUGUUUUCUGUUGAGGUUUUGGUAAAAGUUCUUUGGAAUAGGACAUCAUAGAGGGUGAGAAUCCCGUAUUUGACCUUUACUUUCAACUUUGUGAUACACUUUCAAAGAGUCGGAUUGUUUGGGAAUGCAGUCCAAAAUGGGUGGUAAAUUUCAUCUAAAGCUAAAUAUUGGCGAGAGACCGAUAGCGAACAAGCACCGUGAGGGAAAGAUGAAAAGAACUUUGAAAAGAGAGUUAAACAGUACGUGAAAUUGUCAAAAGGGAAGCGUUUGACACCAGUGUUGUUUUUCUGAAAAUCAAUUAAAGAACUGUUUAUGCUAAGCUGUUUAGACUUUAUCAGCUAUCUGUUUAGUUUUGAGCUUUUCUUUAAUGCACUUUUCAGUUAACAAGUCAACAUCAAUUUCUUUUGCUGUAAAAAAGCUUGAGGAAGGUGGCUUGAGAUUCGUCUUAAGUGUUAUAGCCUCUUGCCUAUGCAGUCGGAGAGAUUGAGGUCUGCAGCGUAGAUCCUUCGGGGCUAAAUGCAUUUGUGCUAAGUUAUAGCAUUUUAUAGACAACUUGUUGACUAUGAUUUGUCUUGUAGCUUACUCGCUUAUGUUAUUUUACCUACGCUUAGGAUGUUGAGUAGCGACAUACGCAC